RNAcentral lists this long non-coding RNA (494 nucleotides) under Homo sapiens (human). RNAcentral describes it as "HSALNT0175990". The record is from RNAcentral. Lineage: Eukaryota; Metazoa; Chordata; Mammalia; Primates; Hominidae.
UUCAAAGUCCCUUCAACCUUAGGGACAGACACAUCAAAAUCUCCUUUUACUUUGGGUCCUUUCAAAUCCAGGUCAACAUCAGGUAUGGAGAUCUUGGGAGCUUUGAUAUUUAUUUCAGGCAUCUUGAACUUGGGGCCCUUUAGUUUCGCAUCUGGACCUUCGAUAUUCACAUCAGGAACAUCAACGUCCACUUUGGGUCCUGAGACAUCAAUGUCAGCCUUGGGCAGGUUCACAUCCACAUCUGGGCCCUCUCCUUUGAAGCCAGGCAUGCUGAACUUGGGCAUUUUCACUUUGGGCAUUUUUAAGUGCCAGUCUGGGCCUUGAACGUCCACAUCUGGGCCCUCUCCUUUGAAGCCAGGCAUGCUGAACUUGGGCAUUUUCACCUUGGGCAUCUUCAGGUGCCAGUCUGGGCCAUGAACAUCCACAUCUGGGGCAUCAAUGUCCACUUUGGGCCCUCUGAUGUCAACAUCUGGCACUUUCAUUUCACCUUCUAC